RNAcentral lists this ribosomal RNA (504 nucleotides) under uncultured bacterium. RNAcentral's name for it is "partial 16S ribosomal RNA". It matches the Rfam family "Bacterial small subunit ribosomal RNA", at positions 28 to 507 of the family's 1533-position model. The record is from RNAcentral.
GACGAACGCUGGCGGCGUGCUUAACACAUGCAAGUCGAACGGUGAAGCGCUUGCCUUUUUGGUGGGUGUGGAUGAGUGGCGAACGGGUGAGUAACACGUGAGUAACCUGCCCUCUUCUUCUGGAUAACCUCAUGAAAGUGGGGCUAAUACGGGGUAUUCCGGGUCUGUCGCAUGGCGGGUUUGGGAAAGAUUGCGCCUUUGGGUGUUUUCGGUGGGGGAUGGGCUCGCGGCCUAUCAGCUUGUUGGUGGGGUGAUGGCCUACCAAGGCGGUGACGGGUAGCCGGCCUGAGAGGGUGGACGGCCACACUGGGGCUGAGACACGGCCCAGACUCCUGCGGGAGGCAGCAGUGGGGAAUAUUGCACAAUGGGCGCAAGCCUGAUGCAGCGACGCCGCGUGAGGGAUGGAGGCCUUCGGGUUGUGAACCUCUUUCGCCAGUGAAGCAGGCCUGCUCCUGUGUGGGUGGGUUGACGGUAGCUGGAUAAGAAGCGCCGGCUAACUACGUG